GGGUCAAUGAUGACAAUAGUCCUGUCAUGAAGAGAGAUGAUGACAUAAAAAUCAUGCUCAAUAGGAUUACGCUAAGGCCC
This 80-nucleotide small nucleolar RNA is filed under the name Jaculus jaculus (lesser Egyptian jerboa). RNAcentral's name for it is "Small nucleolar RNA SNORD115 (ENSJJAG00000006017.1)". It matches the Rfam family "Small nucleolar RNA SNORD115". Rfam says of the family: HBII-52 is a member of the C/D class of snoRNAs, which contain the C (UGAUGA) and D (CUGA) box motifs. HBII-52 is encoded in a tandemly repeated array with another C/D snoRNA, HBII-85, in the Prader-Willi syndrome (PWS) region of chromosome 15. HBII-52 is exclusively expressed in the brain but is absent in PWS patients. The record is from Rfam by way of RNAcentral. Lineage: Eukaryota; Metazoa; Chordata; Mammalia; Rodentia; Dipodidae.